GCCCGCUUAGCUUAGAGGUU
This 20-nucleotide transfer RNA is filed under the name Turnera campaniflora. RNAcentral's name for it is "partial tRNA-Thr". The record is from RNAcentral. RNAcentral also lists the same sequence under 1 other name. Lineage: Eukaryota; Viridiplantae; Streptophyta; Magnoliopsida; Malpighiales; Passifloraceae.